This 1220-nucleotide long non-coding RNA is filed under the name Callithrix jacchus (white-tufted-ear marmoset). RNAcentral's name for it is "lncRNA (ENSCJAG00000081415.1)". The record is from RNAcentral. Lineage: Eukaryota; Metazoa; Chordata; Mammalia; Primates; Cebidae.
GAUUUGCUGAACCCUUAACAAGUUUCAGCCAGAGAAAACCAUUUGUGAAUUCCUAGAAGAUUAUUAUGGUACUCAAUUUUCCUCUUCCCCUAAAACCAGAACACAAUGUCCUAUGACAGUAACCCAGAAAUAAAAGAGAAGAAACAGAAAUCCAACCCUUUCUGGAAGAAUAAUCCUGUGAGAUUUAGUGAAGAUAAGAUGUGUGUUAGAAUCCAGCUCUUCAGGUAUGGCUUGGUUGAUUCACUUCCUAAUUGAUUUAUGAGGAAGACAUUUUUUGUUGCUGUUGCCAUAACUAGAAACUGUGCUGUUGUUUCCUGGAACUCAGUUUGUAUGGGCAAAGGCUUAAGUGAAUGGUCUAUAUAGGCCCUCGGCAGUCCAAGGACCUAUUGGUUUAGUCUCCUCUUUGUUCUCCUAUCAUAGAGAGUUGUUUUUGGUAUUAAAGAGCAACUGUGGCUUGGUCUCAGUGUGGAGGCCAGUUUCUCCUGGUUCUGGGAAAUCAUCAUCAAUAACAACGAAAACCUCAUGCAUCUGCUUGUUGUGUGAGCAGAAUUUCCUGUGGUGUGUUCUGCUCCUUGGAUCUCAUUAGAUGUUUCUCUACGUAAGUAUUCCUUGGCCAAUGAAGUUUGAAUAUUUUGAAGUUAAGAAAAUUUAAUCUAUUAUUCCUUUACUCCAAUUUUCUCCGAUUCUUUAUAAGCUCAUGUGUAUUAUGAAUCUCCUAGAAGACAUAUAUAACACAAAGCAUUUCUCCAAAGUUUGAUUACUGAUGCCCUUUUUGCCAAACAUUUUGAGAGACCAGUGUCCCAAAGACCAUGACUUUGGGAAGUCCUCUGUUACUUCAACCUGAGUGCUAAAACCAACUUCUCCUGGCAGACGUCUAGUCCCCAGAAAACCUACAAAUUAAGGUUUUAAUAAAAAAAUGUGUUAAGUAGUAGAUACAGUCCAAGGAUCCACCUCGUGACAAAUUAGGUACAUAUUUAAGCCUAUGUGUCUUUGGAUCAUGUUCCUUUAUAAAGCAUCUAUAUUGGCUGGGUACAGUGGCUCAGGCCUGUAAACCCAGCACUUUGGGAGGCAAAGGUUUUGCCUCCCAUGGGCAGAUCAGGAGGUCAGGAGAUCAAGACCAUCCUGGCCAACAUGGUAAAACCCUGUAGGUUCUUUUGAAACUUUGUUAAUUAUGAGACUCUUUAACCUGGGUUAGUUUUUCCUUGCCUCUUCUUUCUCAC